Diceros bicornis minor is the source of this 1396-nucleotide long non-coding RNA. RefSeq lists it as uncharacterized. Lineage: Eukaryota; Metazoa; Chordata; Mammalia; Perissodactyla; Rhinocerotidae. The transcript is spliced from 3 exons. The record is from RefSeq and is a predicted model, not a curated record.
UGGGGUUUCCACGGGUGGGGUGAACACUCAGGACUGGCUGGUUUGAAUGAUUUCCUUGGGCUUUGGGCAAUAGGCAUGGUCCUGGUUGAAGGCAGAGGAAUCUUGCCUCCUGGGUGCAGGGCAGAUGGAGGAGGCCUGGCUCUGGGUGGUUGGUGGGCGUAUCGACGACAGGCCCCCAACUGGGCCCUUUGCUGUCUCUGAAGAUUCGCUAGCUCGGAGGGGCAGUGUCUCCCCAGCCAGGAAGGUUUCUAAGAGGUGAAAACAGCAUAAUAUACAGAACAACAUAAAAACCACGAUUCGUAUUCUCUCUCUGAGAACAGUGUUUUAUGCCUUCUUUUUUCUCAGCUCUGGCUUAGCAAACACUGCCUCUAUCUCCUGCCGUAUUUCAUGGAGAAAACAGCCAUGCUUCAUCUUCCUAACGCCAGACUGGCAACAUCCCCGCAGAGGCCUCCUCCUCCUUGCCUCCCAUUCUGUCUGAGGACAACUUGUUCCUCUUUUGCCCACGUACUGCUCUGGAUGGACCCCAGUCGCCGUCCCAAGGCUUCCUCUCUGAGGGGCCUCUCCUCUUGGAUUUCAACAAUGAACCCUUCUGUUCUCCUGCAUAGCACUUGUCACAGCUUGUCAUUGUCCUAUUUAAUUAUUUAUAAUCAAAACCAAUGAUUAGAAACACAUUUAAUUGUUAAUAAAAUUGAUCACUACUCAAUAAAGCACAUGUGAACCCAGCAAUUUAUUAUUUAUUUUUAGCCCGUCCUACUUAACCCGCAAGUUCCUUGAGGACGCAAACCAACUCUGAGGUUUUCAUUUUUGGUUCCCGGUGCUUUCAUGGGGCUGGUGGAUCAGCUAUGAUGCGGGUUCAGCUGCGCCUGACAGACUGCCAUCAACAGAGCUUCAGCAGAAACAUUCUCAGAGACACACCCAGAAAUGCUGUGUUCCCAGCUCUCUGGGCAGCGCAUGGCUCAGUGAAGUCGACACAUGAAAUCAGCCAUCACAGAGGCAGUUCAAACGACCCUGAGUCCUUUCCCACCCCCGCGUUUCUGGGUCUGGAUUCUCACCGUAGAGCCAGCACGAUUGAUGAAACGCUCAGCAGCGGCUCUACUGGCUGUGAAAUGACGUGACUCCUGUCUUCUCCACGAUCUGCCUGGAACCGUGGAGCCCAUCCUCAGGCCUGUGAAGCGCAGGGCAUCAUCCGAUACCACCCUCUGCUGGGGACACAGAGCAUUACACCUGUCAGCCAAAAGGGAAGAAAAUACUCAGCACAUGGGAUUAGGGAAAUAUCAAAAUAUUUUAAAUGACAUCACAGCUACUAUAAAAUAAAUGGGGCAUGUCAGUUAUUUUCAAAACCUUCUUAUGCACAUUUAAUAUUAUUUAAAGAGCAUAUACACAAUAAAUACUUGUU